GAAACUACCUACACCCAUACGGAAGGGAACAAAUCAUGGUAAACCACAAGCACUAGUAGCACUUACGAUAGUUGCUGAAGAUCCUCCUUAGCUCCCAGCCUUCUGUUCUGUUCCAAGUCAGCCUGCCUCCUGAUGCUAGAUGUUCUUCCUUCUCCCUGACCUUUAUAAGAGAUCGUGGAAUUGAGGGCUGCGCUGGAGCCUACCUCUGCUUUUAUGGAACACACUGAAUCUACUAAAAUCAGUGUUUUCUCACUAAAAGCAAGAUCUCAAUUAUGUAAAUAGUACAGGAUUUCAAAAAUCUCAUUCACUGGUGAUUUCAGGUAGUUGGAUCUAGGAUACUGAGGGAGACAGAGCAUG
RNAcentral lists this long non-coding RNA (357 nucleotides) under Homo sapiens (human). RNAcentral describes it as "HSALNT0350283". The record is from RNAcentral. Lineage: Eukaryota; Metazoa; Chordata; Mammalia; Primates; Hominidae.